ACAGCAGUCGCCACGGUAAUACGUAGGGUGCAAGCGUUAAUCGGAAUUACUGGGCGUAAAGCGUGCGCAGGCGGUUUGUUAAGACAGAUGUGAAAUCCCCGGGCUCAACCUGGGAACUGCAUUUGUGACUGGCAAGCUAGAGUGUGGCAGAGGGGGGUGGAAUUCCGCGUGUAGCAGUGAAAUGCGUAGAUAUGCGGAGGAACACCGAUGGCGAAGGCAGCCCCCUGGGCCAACACUGACGCUCAUGCACGAAAGCGUGGGGAGCAAACAGGAUUAGAUACCCCAGUAGUCCCUGUCUCUUAUAC
RNAcentral lists this ribosomal RNA (305 nucleotides) under uncultured bacterium. RNAcentral's name for it is "partial 16S ribosomal RNA". It matches the Rfam family "Bacterial small subunit ribosomal RNA", at positions 505 to 807 of the family's 1533-position model. The record is from RNAcentral.